Molecule: non-coding RNA, 8181 nt
Organism: Equus caballus (horse)
Lineage: Eukaryota; Metazoa; Chordata; Mammalia; Perissodactyla; Equidae
Source: RefSeq, a predicted model, not a curated record
UGUUUAAUAAUAAAUCAAAACAAAUGUUUGUAAUUCUUUUCUUCUUUAAUGUGAAAAUGGAAAACUGACACCUUGUCUUCUGUACCAAAAUGUCUAGUGUUCCAUUUUGUGUUCUGAGCAUGAAAAGAAUAUGUGCACUGUUAGAAUUCUGAUACAUCAAUCGUAUCAUGUUUAGUUUUCAGUACUAUUUUGCCCUAAAAUUCAAUAAUGUUAAUUUAUAGUGCUUCCUUUCUUCUAUUAAGAUUAAUCGAGAAAAGUAAACAGCAGUGUUAUUUCAUUGUGAUUAAGUCUGAAAUACACUUGUAGGAGUUCGGUCUUCAAAUCUACAGUUUUGAGAAAGAAGUUCAGGCUAUUACUUUUAUUUCUGGAAAGCUCAUUCCACUGUAGUUAAACCGGAUUAUUCCCAACAAAAUGAGGUUCUCAGUGGUAGUUUUUUUAGAAAUGAGUGAAUUGAUCUUACAUUUUUUAGCUACAGUGUAUAGAUCCAUAACUCACGGACACUCUUGAAAAGAAAGAUUCCAAGUGUUUCAGUGGUCUAGUUUUUCUGAGUUGGAUGGAGAUUUUUCCUUGGAUCAUAUGAACAAGUCGGUUUCUUUCAACAAUACAAAAAACUGUUCCCAACCCAAAACCGCUUAAACUGAUCCAGCCAAACUCCAUGAAAUACAGCAGAAUAUGACAUCCGUGCCUCAGUAGGGUCACACAAAUCAUUGCCUAUCAGCAGUUGAAGCCACAGAAGCAUAUCCAGUGCUGGUGUUAUUUACUACAUCCCUGACAUUUUCUAGUUCUAACCUUUUACUACUAAGCUAUUGGUGGUGAUUAAAGUAAUGAAGAGGCAUAAGUUCUAUGUCUUUAUUCAUGUUGCCUUACUAAGUUCACAAUAAGUCUGACAUUAACGCCAAUCAGAUCACAGAUCACAACAUGUAAGCAGGCAGAUUAAUAUUGACUACUCUACCUUCAAACUAUCAAGAUUAGCCUGGCACCCAAAAAUAAGUCAUUUCCUGAUAAUUAUGUCCACCAUAAUGGUAUCAUAUCCAAGCAACCUUCUAGCCAUGAAUCCUAAUCAACUCCAUGAAAAAAGAUAUAUAUGCUGUAUAGUAUAUGUAGUAUAUAUAUGUACUAACAUACUAAGUCAUCAGCUAAAACACUAGAAAUUAUUUAACUUUCUUAUAUAAUUUGUGCUGUAGAUUCUUAGCCAUAUUUUUAAAACACUAAGCGACAGGACUUCCGGUUGCUUCUGUUUGGGAUAUAUCAUGUCUGUUGCAUUCAGUAGACAGUCUUUAACAAACUCACCAUUUAUCAGUGGUUUCGAUGCCCAGGCAAAAUUUUCCUUUAAUGUAUUGUGGCAUUUAACUACAGUGUCAUUCAGUGUAUUCACAUAAAAAAAAAACCACACACACUUUUAAAAUGCCUGCCUUCUUUUGAGUUUAGAGUUUUUCAUCAUGCAUCUUUUUUCAUACAGAACAUAGUCAAGACUGUAUUUUAUGGCAUAAUGUAUAUUUUUUUGACAUAAAACACAACCUUCUCUGGGUACCUUUCAUUUCAGAAAAGCAGUGCACGGGACUUUAGUAGAUCUGGUGUGUGACAUUGAACCAGGCAACUUAACUUCUCUGGGUCUCAAAUUCUCUGUAAAUGAUGGCUGGUCACCGGAUAAACUCUAAGGUCCUACCAAUUCUAAUAUUUAAAAUUUUUAUGGCCCUAAGUCCUAAUGGAUCCUUGUGGUCCCAGUGACUCCUCUAUCUUAGAGGCAAGCUACCUGCAAGAGAGACUUUUCCCAAGGAAAAUGAGCCUGUACCCCAAGCUGUAAUACUCACAGCAAAGCAGUAGAAUUAUUAGCAGCUCGAGCAUUGCCUAACCUUCGAUGUGACCACCUGCAAAGUAUUUCAUUGCUUUUCACUUUGUGUCCACCUUUAUAUAAACUAGAGAAAGGGAAGAAGGAAGAUGGGGGAAAUGGAGGCGGGAGGGAAUCUAACGUUGUGCACCUACUGCAAAGUCAGGAGUAUGCUUGGCCUUUGAUAUACAAGGUCUCAUUUAAUGCUCCUGAUAAAACCAUGUAUGCAAGAGAUGGUAGUAUCCUCACUUUACAGAUAAGGAAAAGAAGCUCAGAGAACUUAAGUAUUCUGGCCAAGGUGACACAAUUAGCAGCAGAUCCAGGACUCGAGCAGCUCAGUUUGGCCCCAAAGCCCAUGUUGUAUCCAUUAUUCAUUGCGUGAUUCUUGGUUCUAGUGCACAGGAUUCCUUGCUAGGGAGUGUCCUUCGGUCACCCAUCUUCUAGGAAAUCCAUGCUAAACAAGAAUUCUCUCUUCUCUUAUGCUCGUUGGGCCUGGAGGUUAUGGAUCAACCUUAGAUCAACUGGCCAGAAUGAGGAGAGACAAAGCCAGGAUGAGGAGCCUGGUGUGGAGGUAAACAAGGCCAGAAGCUGAAGGUCCAGGCAGAGUCCCGAGUCCAGGCUGGUGCAUCAGCUGAUUGGACUGAGAUGUCAAACGUGGAAAUAGGAACACAAGAAUAGAAAAGUCACCUUGCCAAGCUCUCCACACCCAGGAGAGAACUGAGAGGAAGAUUAUGCCUGAGCUAACAUCUGUGCCAAUCUUCCUCCAUUUCCUUUUUUUGGAUGUGGGAUGCCAUCACAGCAUAGCUUCAUGAGCAGUGUAUAAGUCCAUGCCUGUGAACCCUGGGCCAUCAAAGUGGAGUGUGCAAACUUAACCGCUAUGCCACCGGGCUGACCCGAGAGUAUACCCAUCUUAAUCAUGAGAAAACUCCAAGUGAAGAGAAUGGCUCUCAACUAUAAGGAUAGAAAAUUAGUAAGUGCAAAAAAUCUUAAGCUGUAUUUAUCAGAGGCCCUAUUCAAUGCACUGUGCUUGAAACAUUAAAAUAUAAUAGGAAAUUACUAGGACAAGCUGUGUGACUUUGAGUGAGUGCCACAGCCUGGCUGCACGCCAGUCUUCUCCUGUGUAAGGAGAGAAGCAGGAACCCAGUGGUUUAUACGCUCUUUGCAGUCCAGCUUUAGAUGAUUCUGUAUUCCUUCCCAGCAGCGUGUGGAUUAUAAGGUAACAUCUUAAGGGUACUUUGAAACAAUUUUGAGUUUGAAGUUUUCUUUGAAAUGGUGAUUGUUGGAAAUGCCGUCUUGGGGGAGUGGGGUGUUGCCAAAUGGAGUAUAGGUUGAGUUUGGAAUCAGACGGAAUUGGGUUUGAAUAGAAGCUUUGCUAAUUAUUAGUCAUGCGUGUCCUUAGGUCAAUUACUUAGAUCCACUGGUUUCUUCAACUGUGAAAGGGCUGAUAACAGAGCCUAUUUCACGGGGUGGUUGGGGCUUAGGUAGACAAGGCGCGUGACUAGCACACAGGAAGUUCUCAAGAACCUUCAUCAUGAGAACUGCUAAGUUUGGUGUGCCAGAAUGAGCUUUACUCCCAGGGCAGCAGGGGAAACUGAGGUUUGGAGAAGUUGCCUCUUGAGAAAAAUUAGACAGCAAGUUAGUAAGGAAGCCAGAAAUCAUCUGUGGUUUACUCGUCCCAGUUUCAUACUCCUUCAUCAUCACAUAAUUCAGGAAAAAGCUGAAUGAAGACAAAGAUUUCUAAUGGAAGUUUGGGUGACGAUAUCAUUGCUUUCCUAACCAUGACCCAACACCGACUGCCAGUAUUAUGUGUGUACAAUCAUAUUUUAUCCAAGUAAGAUGGGAGAGUCAUGAAUAGACGCCACUGACCAACACAGAUGAGGCCUACACUCUUCUACCUGGCGUCCAAGAUCUCCCUUAGCUUGGCCUCGGUCAACUUUUCCAUGCUCACUUCCCAUUACAACCCCUCACGGGCCCAAGGUUUCAACUAAAAUCCAUAGCACAUCAUUCUCUUAACACAGGGCUUUCACCAUGCCUCUGCUAGAGCUGCUGCCUCCUUCUAGAAGACCUGAACUCUGUGUCACCUGGUAGCUUACCCCCCAUUCUUCAAGGCUCAGCCCAAAUGUCAGUCCUUCCUGGGUGAAGCCAUCUCCUCUUCCCUAGACAUACUCACUGCUCCUGGCCCUGACUGAGUUACCAAGACACCUGUGUUUAUCCCCAUGUUACUUAAUGAGGCCGAUGUGAUUUAGCUCUGGGACAUGUGGGUGCGGGACAUUCUCCUCCUUUGGCAAUUCCUGCAUAACCUAGAGCGGAUCCAAUCUUCCCAAAGAUGGGCAAGGUUUGCUUCUGCCAGGCCUCGGAAACCCAGAGAGUCUGAACCUUAACACAAAUGCGUGGUUGUUUUUCUAAGGAGGGAGCAAGAAGGAAAAUGUUCUCUCUAAUAUUUUUUGUUCCGUUCAGCAGCAAAAGCAAAUAAGAAAUGAAUAUCUUAAAUAGGUCAUCAUGCCACAGUCAUGAUUUAUGUUUUUCUCCAUUGUUACAGUGGGAAUCCUUUUUUUUUUUUCAUCUUUGGAACCUGAAUACCUGUGGCAGGGGGUAUUAGUAUAUGCAUGGUGGCUGCUCUGUGGUUCGUUGAAAGCUCUGACAAUGAGUCACUCACUUACUGAAUGAUCAUUACUGAAUCCAGUAAGGUGCUAGGGGCUCAGGAGACACACCAGCCUUUUCAGCUGAACUCAGAUCCAGCAUAACAUUCAGCCUUUUCAACCCCAGAGAAGGUCACUGUAUGGGGUUGCCCCACAGAGGUCUCUGUAGUUCUUUGCGCCUGCAUUCCACACACUUCCCCUUUGUGUCCAUCUCACUGUAAGGUCCCGCCCUCUCCUUUCUGCCUGUCUGAGCUCCAUCAUGCUUAGACAGAUCCCUCUCUCUUCUUGAAGACUUCCGGCCCCACGUACACUCUCAGAUACACAGUCUCUUCUCUUUUCCUCUAGUGGGUUUGUGUUUGCAUGUCUUAUCUCCUCUGUAAGACUCUAAGUUCCUGCACCAGGGGUUCUCAUCUUCUUUUAAACUCUUCAGUGUACUUAGCAGAUUGCUAGGUACACAAUGGGCUCUUAAUAAAUAAUUCAUUCAUCGGUAUGGACAUUCUUCACAUUCCAACAGAUGAAAGCGCGAUCCUCUAAUCUUGCUACUCAAAGUGUGGUGUGGACUAGCUGCAUUGGCAUCUUCUGGGAGCUUGGUAGAGAUGCAGAAUUGCAGCCCUGCCCAGAUCUACUGACUCAGACUCUGCAUUUUAACAAGCUCCCCAGGGGACUCGUAUGCUUGAGAAGCACUGCACUAAAUGACACCAGUUGCCAGACUCUGGAUAUUUCCUUGCUCACUUGGUCCACUGUUUUUGCUCCCCAUAUAUCUGGCUCCUCCCACAUCCCCCGACCCCCUCUCCUUCCCCUCCCUAGUGCUUCACUUUAACCAUUUUCUCUCCAAUAUUCUCCAUUCUCUUAUUCCUCUAGUCUCUCUAUUCCUGUCUACAACACACCAGCAACUCACUUUCUCCCGUCUUUUCUUGUUCUUGGAGCCUCUAGCACCUACCAUGCGACAUAACAGGGCCUCCUGUUGUUGACUCAAUACAUGCCUUGCUCAUCAAACACCUAUGUGAGAGGUAUUUGGCACGAAAUCUGAGCUCAGUCUUCUCUUGAAUAGGUUAUAGCUCUUUUUGCCAUUUCUGUUUAUCAGCUCACUCCUAACUGAGCAGAAGUUAGGAAUUCAUUGGCCAGCCAACCAUGUGGGGUGGCAGUGAAAUUUGUGCUCUUCCUUUAUAGAUGCAGCUGCUAAAAAGAAUUUGAGAGCUAAGCAGUCUUCAUUAGUUAUGCCUAAACCUUCAAUUCAAAGAAAAGUGUGCCUCACUUUAAGACACCCAAACACAGAAAAUCAUACUUGCAAGAAGGAAUGCCAGGGUUUGCUUUAAACAAUAAUUCUUCCACUUAAAAGACCUUCGAAAGGUCUUUAAUCUAGUAAUCUUUAAAGUGACUUGAAAAAUUAUAUUUACUCACAUCUUGAUAAGAGCACAGGUGUCUUGAAAUGCAGAGGAGAUGUAUCUUCAGUUUGUGUUGCUGUUCUUUAUACAGAAUCUAGGAAAAAGCCGCUUUGGAGCCUGCAUUACAAAGAAAAUUACCCCCAUUCCCCAUCUCCAUAUUUUGUAGCAGGAACUAAGCAGUUAAGUUCUGCUUCUGAAUAUCAUAUUACCUUUUGACUCACUUUUUCUACCUGAGGCUUGAUUUACAAAGAUAAUUUUCUUUAGACAUUUUAAAAAGCGAUUGUUCAUAAAAAAAAAAAAAGAGAGAGAGAUAUUCGACAGAGUCUUAAUGCCAAGGGCCGACAAUAAUUGGGUGGUUUGAGUUCUCUUCAUUUUUCUUAAAUCUCUGAUUGCUUGCAUAAUAACUUUCUUCCUCAAUCAAUUAGUCUAACAAUUCACAUCAAUAUUUUAUUUUUAAUGGUUGACUACUCAUUUCAUUAAAAAUGUAAGUGCAUGAGCUCGAUGUAAAAUGAUUCCAUUGGGAUAGGCUUAUUUAAAUAUUCAUAACAUAAAAAUUAAUAAAUCUGAGCACAGUGUUUGCAUUUUAAAAAGUCAGGCUAUUGUCAGAUGUAUUUGGUCCUAGAUGAGAUUCACUAAAUUGAAAACCUUGAGCAUCAUCUUUUUAUUGAUUCUUCUUUACAGUAAAAUAAUGCAAUGGAAAUGCUACGAGGACAGUAUUACUACCCAAUAGCUCAUUGCUUCUCUCAGCUUCAUCCAUUUAUAACUAGCUUCCCUUCCUUCAGUCUUUCAUGCUACCUUCCACUCAUAUCCCCUGGAUUCUGACUACUCAGUCAGCCUGUCUGAAAUCAAAGAAGUUAAAUGCUGGGUGUGCAUAAUGUUUAUUUCCAUUUUAUUCACUCUUUCUACCCCACUCCCCAAUUAAGUCAAUGAAUCAUAAUAGUGAACAGCAAGAGCUCUUGGGAAACUGUCUUCAUUGGGUUCCUCCCAACUGGAGGAAGAGGCAGAGGCAUCUACAUCACAGGCUGUUUGUUGUAGGUUGAUUCAUGAGCAUACAUAGCCUUAGAACCAGCAAAUUGACAAAUCUACACCUUGAGUUAGGAGGUGGAAGAAUCCAACCAGCGCAGAGCAUCUCUGAUAAGUUACCAAAGACUUGAAAAUGCCACUCAGAAAUAAGGAUGCUGGGGUAGGUAAGGCCUGUCCUCCCCCAGGAACCCCCAGUAGCAUGGUUUGGGAUUACUAUUUUCUCAUAUUCCGCCCCAAAUCACUACCCUUAGUGAAGCUUGUCUGGAUUAGACAGAAAAGGCCUCUGCUACAAAUAUGAGGCCACCUGGAAGGAUGGAUCUCAGGGGGGGUGACAUUUUGCAGCCUUCUACAGUCUCUAUCCCCAGUAGUCUGGGUAAUGCUUGUGAACCGAGUUAUUGGGAAGAACAUGGAAUUUGGAGUCAGGAGAGCGACGUUCUAACCAUUAUCUACUAAAUCUCUAAGUUCUCUUCUAGUUCUAAAAAUAUGUAUAAAAAGAGUAGAUCUUUAAAGAGAAAACCCAGGGCUGGACUGCCAAAUAGGUGACAGAAAAGUGAUCCAAUUCUACCCCAUAGGGACUUAGGUCACACUCCUUCAUCUGGAGCCCAUAUAGAGCCUCAAAAUCCUUCUCUACCCACUCCUUUGGGCAACUUCUGCAAAACGCUCUGAAUCAGCCCCUGAGCUGAACCUUCUUUGCCAUCCCUGAAGCCAUCGUCUUGGACUGUGAUGAUGUUCACAAAGAUUGGGAAGCUUUUCCUGCAAAUCUUCACCCGGAUCUGGGAAAAUUCUGCUCUCUGCCUGAGGGAUGCAGAUGAGGACAGUCCUGCUCCUUUGUGUGGCUUUGGAGGGCGUACAGGAUACAGAGAGAACGUGACUUGAAGAAAUGACGCUGUCUGUGAGUCCAGUUUAUUUGUGGACUCCUGAGGCUUGAGUGUAACCAGAGUAAAAUAAACGUAUAUAUGGAAACUGUAUCUGUGAAUUGCAUCCUAACCACUGUUUCCAUCUCUUUCUCUUUGCCUUUUAAUAUAGUUGAAAUGUCCCAAUAUGAGCUAGAAAACGUCUGUGUUUGUUGAUGAAAUCCAAUUGUAUGGAUAUGAUGGUGUUCAUAAAUCCUCUAAAUUCAGUGCUCUGGAAUUUUCCCAGAUUGAAAUCAAAUACACUCCUGCCUGGCUCUCAAAUUCCAAGUCAGUGGUAUCUCCCACCACACACAGCCUGUCCGUGACAUUCCUGUGGGAGGUUAUCACAAUGCAGGGACUGUGUGAGUACUCAGGGCUUAUCUAAUCAUGUUUGCUUGACACUUGUUUUACUG